RNAcentral lists this ribosomal RNA (491 nucleotides) under uncultured soil bacterium. Its description in RNAcentral is "bacterial SSU rRNA". It matches the Rfam family "Bacterial small subunit ribosomal RNA", at positions 26 to 517 of the family's 1533-position model. The record is from RNAcentral.
AGAUUGAACGCUGGCGGCAUGCCUUACACAUGCAAGUCGAACGGCAGCGCGGGGCAACCUGGCGGCGAGUGGCGAACGGGUGAGUAAUAUAUCGGAACGUACCCUGGAGUGGGGGAUAACGUAGCGAAAGUUACGCUAAUACCGCAUACGAUCUAAGGAUGAAAGUGGGGGAUUCGCAAGAACCUCAUGCUCCUGGAGCGGCCGAUAUCUGAUUAGCUAGUUGGUGGGUAAAGGCCUACCAAGGCAUCGAUCAGUAGCUGGUCUGAGAGGACGACCAGCCACACUGGAACUGAGACACGGUCCAGACUCCUACGGGAGGCAGCAGUGGGAAUUUGGACAAUGGGCGAAAGCCUGAUCCAGCAAUGCCGCGUGAGUGAAGAAGGCCUUCGGUGUAAAGCUCUUUGUCAGGUAAGAAACGGUGAAGGCUAAGUAUCCUUUGCUAAUGACGGUACUGAAGAAUAAGCACCGGCUAACUACGUGCCAGCAGACCG